GUCCGGACUCUAAUUCAAAUUGCAUUCAUCCGAUCUUCACCAAACUUGGUCAGCAGUUGCAUCUAGUUGAUAUCUAGGCCAAGUUCGAAUAUGGGUCAUGCCGGGUCAAAAACUAGGUCAUAGGGUCAAUUAGUGCAUUUUCAACGGCGCCACUUUGUCCGGACUCUAAUUCAAAUUGUAUUCAUCCGAUCUUCACCAAACUUGGUCAGUAGUUGCAUCUAGUUGAUAUCUAGGUCAAGUCCGAAUAUGGGUCAUGCUGGGUCAAAAACUAGGUCAAAGGGUCAAUUAGUGCAUUUUACUUUGUCCGGACUCUAAUUCAAAUUGUAUAAAUCUUAUCUUCACCAAACUUGGUCAGUAGUUGCAUCUAGUUGAUAUCUAGGCCAAGUUCGAAUAUGGGUCAUGCCAGGUAAAAAACUAGGUCAUAGGGUCAAUAAGUCCAUUUUCAACAGCGCCACUUUGUCCGGACUCUUAUUCAAAUUGUAUUCAUCCGAUCUUUACCAAACUUGGUCAGUAGUUGCAUCUAGUUGAUAUCUAGGUCAAGUUCGAAUAUGGGUCAUGUCGGGUCAAGAACUAGGUCAUAGGGUCAAUUAGUGCAUUUUCAACGGCGCCACUUUGUCCGGACUCUAAUCAAAUUGUAUUCAUCCGAAACUUUUAAACAACUUUUUAUCCUGCGUCAAAGUGGUAUGGGGGUAUAAGUCACAUUCAGUGACAAAGCUCUAGUUCAAGUUGAAUUCACCAAACUUGGUCAGAGGUAGUAUAUAGAUUAUAUAUCAGUCAGGUCUGAUUGGAGACAUGCAACCGAUUAACACAUGCAAUAUUUUUAUGCAAUAUUUUUAUCCAGUUUUAUUUUGCGAUAUUUUCAUCGGGUUUAUUUUUUUCGCGAUUUUUGAAACGAGUUAUUUUUAACAACAUGUUUAUUGGUAAGUUUCAUU
Molecule: long non-coding RNA, 932 nt
Organism: Dreissena polymorpha
Lineage: Eukaryota; Metazoa; Mollusca; Bivalvia; Myida; Dreissenidae
Exons: 2
Source: RefSeq, a predicted model, not a curated record